Molecule: RNA transcript, 2237 nt
Organism: Papaver somniferum (opium poppy)
Lineage: Eukaryota; Viridiplantae; Streptophyta; Magnoliopsida; Ranunculales; Papaveraceae
Gene name: casein kinase 1-like protein 3
Exons: 17
Source: RefSeq, a predicted model, not a curated record
UUGUGUGAAGACAGACACACACUAGAAGUCUAGAAGAAGAAGAGUUGUCGUCCGUUAGGUUAGGUUCUCACCGUCAAUCAAAAACACCUCUUUUUUUCUUCGUGUUUUUCAUAUUCAUCUUCAUCUUCUCUUCAUCUUUCUUUCAGAAAAUUCUGAAACCCUAAUUUAAUCUAUUUAUUAAAUUAAGAUUUAGGGUUAUUUAUUGUUGUUAUGAGUAUGGAAAGGAUUGUAGGUGCAAAGUAUAAGUUAGGAAGAAAGAUCGGAAGUGGAUCCUUUGGUGAAAUCUACCUUGCAACACAGAUUGAUACAAAUGAGAUCUUUGCUGUCAAGAUUGAAAACACAAAGACAAAGCACCCACAGCUUCUAUAUGAAGCAAAAUUGUAUAAUAUUCUUCAAGGAGGGAGUGGUAUUGCGGGGAUAAAAUGGUUUGGGGUUGAUGGGGAAGAGAAUGUUUUGGUCAUUGAUUUGUUGGGACCGAGUCUAGAAGAUCUUUUUGUAUACUGUGGAAGGAAAUUUUCGUUAAAAACAGUCUUAAUGUUGGCUGAUCAAAUGAUUACAAGAAUUGAGUAUAUGCACUCUAAAGGAUUUUUGCAUCGGGACAUCAAACCAGAUAACUUCCUCAUGGGUCUUGGUCGGAAAGCAAAUCAAGUCUAUAUCAUUGAUUUUGGACUGGCUAAAAGAUAUCGGGAGUCUACUACUAACCGCCACAUUCCUUAUAGAGAGAAUAAAAGUUUAACAGGGACUGCUCGAUAUGCGAGUUGCAAUACUCACCUUGGCAUUGAACAAAGUCGGCGAGAUGAUUUGGAGUCUCUUGGUUAUGUGCUUUUAUACUUUUUAAGAGGAAGUCUUCCCUGGCAGGGUUUAAAAGCUGCUACAAAGAAGCAAAAAUAUGACAAGAUAUGUGAGAAGAAGCUAUCCACUCCUAUUGAAGUUUUGUGCAAGUCCCAUCCGGUGGAGUUUGCCUCGUACUUCCAUUACUGCCAUUCUUUGACAUUUGAUCAACGACCAGAUUAUGGUUUCUUAAAACGCCUAUUCCGUGAUUUGUUUACUCGUGAAGGACAUCAGUUCGAUUACAUAUUUGACUGGACUAUCCUAAAGUACCAGCAAGCACAAAAGACAAAAGUUCAGCCACGGGGGCCUCCACCUCCUAUAGCGACUGGAAGUCGAGCAAUGCCAACAGAUGCUAACAAGCAUAGAGUUUCAGGUGGAAAUGGUGCUGCUUAUUCGGCUGAGGUCACCGACCGCCUUGUGUCCACUGAUGGUACUCGUCCUGGGAUACGGAUGCAGUUUAAAUCAUCAACACAGAGGAUUUCGAGUUCUAGUAGGCCUAUUGAGAAUUCUAAAAUGAGCAGCUUCGCUGAAAAUGGGCAUGCGACGUCUAGCACAGCUGCUAUUGCUGGUUCCUCCAGUAGAAUUGCUUCACAACCCAUGGUGACAACUGAAACUUCAACCCUUGGGCAUGCCUCAGGCAGCAGGAAUGGUCAUCCGAGUAGCUGGUUUCCAUCGUUACAGCGAAAUUCUUCUGCUAAAUAAUUGCAAAAGGGCCAAACAAGAAGAAUCAGUGAAUCCAUAUUCAAGAGGCUGUGAAAGUGCAAGGCAUUUUAAAUUGCUCAUGUCCCCUACAGCCUUCCAGAUCACGAAUAGCAGUUCCUCAAACGCAACAGCAGCAAUCAUUCUGUGGCAGCUGAAAUGAAGUGAUCAAGUGAGAAGUAGUUUGUGCUGUUCUGCCAGCUGGAGCUUAUUAUUACUCACGGGACUCUUCAAGCUUUACGAUUGCAUGUAAACAUGAGUGAGAAGUGAAGCCUUUCUUCGUUCUUCUGUUAAUAGUAGUUUAUAAGUUUUAACUAUAGGUACUCAGAAAGUUCUCCGGCAUCUAGUAGAAGAGUCUAGAAAACAGUGAAUCACAUGACAACAAAGUACAACUAUCUGGGCCAAUACGAAGUUUUCAGCGCAGGCAAGAGAGAUUCUUAAUCUCGAGAAUCACAGGUUUUGGUUGCCAGAGAGCCAUUAAAGAGGUAUUCUGCGCUUGUUCAGCUCGGUUGACCUUCCAAGUAUCCUUCGGAAAAAUUCUUCUUUCCGGUUUUUGUACUCUUACCACUUUAUUUUUGCGUGGCAGCUAAUUUUUGGUCGGGUCAUCACAGAACCCGACAGGCUUGUAAAUAGAACGAUAUGAAAGCCACAUAAUCUGACAGAAGAUCUAACAAAAUUUAUGACCUAAGAUUGAACUUUGGUCUCUA